This 420-nucleotide ribosomal RNA is filed under the name uncultured prokaryote. RNAcentral describes it as "bacterial SSU rRNA". It matches the Rfam family "Bacterial small subunit ribosomal RNA", at positions 355 to 792 of the family's 1533-position model. The record is from RNAcentral.
UGGGGAAUAUUGGACAAUGGGCGCAAGCCUGAUCCAGCCAUGCCGCGUGAGUGAUGACGGCCCUAGGGUUGUAAAGCUCUUUCGCCAAGGAUGAUAAUGACAGUACUUGGUAAAGAAGCCCCGGCUAACUUCGUGCCAGCAGCCGCGGUAAUACGAAGGGGGCUAGCGUUGUUCGGAAUUACAGGGCGUAAAGCGCGCGUAGGCGGAUUGUUAAGUCAGGGGUGAAAUCCCGGGGCUCAACCCCGGAACUGCCUUUGAUACUGGCAAUCUUGAGUUCGAGAGAGGUGAGUGGAAUUCCGAGUGUAGAGGUGAAAUUCGUAGAUAUUCGGAGGAACACCAGUGGCGAAGGCGGCUCACUGGCUCGAUACUGACGCUGAGGUGCGAAAGCGUGGGGAGCAAACAGGAUUAGAUACCCGCGUA